GGUAAAUUGGCAGAGUGGUUAUCGCGCGUUCUUCGAAAGUUCGUGUCCUUGUGACGCAUAGGUUCGAAUCCUAUAUUUACCU
RNAcentral lists this transfer RNA (82 nucleotides) under Pseudomonadota bacterium. RNAcentral's name for it is "Proteobacteria bacterium (activated sludge metagenome) tRNA-Ser". It matches the Rfam family "tRNA". Rfam says of the family: Transfer RNA (tRNA) molecules are approximately 80 nucleotides in length. Their secondary structure includes four short double-helical elements and three loops (D, anti-codon, and T loops). Further hydrogen bonds mediate the characteristic L-shaped molecular structure. tRNAs have two regions of fundamental functional importance: the anti-codon, which is responsible for specific mRNA codon recognition, and the 3' end, to which the tRNAs corresponding amino acid is attached (by aminoacyl-tRNA synthetases). tRNAs cope with the degeneracy of the genetic code in two manners: having more than one tRNA (with a specific anti-codon) for a particular amino acid; and 'wobble' base-pairing, i.e. permitting non-standard base-pairing at the 3rd anti-codon position. The record is from RNAcentral. Lineage: Bacteria; Pseudomonadati; Pseudomonadota.